Potamilus streckersoni is the source of this 77-nucleotide non-coding RNA. NCBI's taxonomy places the organism in Eukaryota, Metazoa, Mollusca, Bivalvia, Unionida, Unionidae. The record is from the annotation of a GenBank genome assembly.
GACCGCUCAGGUGGUAUAGUUAUUAAAGCAUCCGCCUCGGAUGCGAGAGGUCGUGGGUUCGAACCCCGGCUGAGUCA